Molecule: ribosomal RNA, 337 nt
Filed under: Physoctonus debilis
Lineage: Eukaryota; Metazoa; Arthropoda; Arachnida; Scorpiones; Buthidae
Description: partial 12S ribosomal RNA
Source: RNAcentral
UAAGACCCACUAAAAUUAAGUAGUAAAGGUUAACCCGAAACUUAAAGAAUUUGGCGGUGUUCUAAACUAACUAGAGGAAUCUGCUUUCACAUCGACAACUCACGCAAGAUCUCUCCUAAAUUCAGCUUGUAUACCGUCGUAAAAAUAGUGUCUAUAGACUAUUAUUAAAGAAGAUUUUAUCACACACGACAGAUCCAGGUUCAGUUUAUAUUUAGAGAAAAAGUGGAUUACAAUAUAACUAUAUACUACGAACGAGGCUUUGAAAUUAACCAAAAGAAGGAGGAUUUAGAAGUAAAAAGGAAUUAGUAUGUCUUUUCGAAUCAGCCCUAGAACAUGC